GACGAACGCUGGCGGCGCGCCUAACACAUGCAAGUCGAACGAGAGAGAGGAAGCUUGCUUCCUCAAUCGAGUGGCGAACGGGUGAGUAACGCGUGAGGAACCUGCCUCAAAGAGGGGGACAACAGUUGGAAACGACUGCUAAUACCGCAUAAGCCCACAGGUCGGCAUCGACCAGAGGGAAAAGGAGCAAUCCGCUUUGAGAUGGCCUCGCGUCCGAUUAGCUGGUUGGUGAGGUAACGGCCCACCAAGGCAACGAUCGGUAGCCGGACUGAGAGGUUGAACGGCCACAUUGGGACUGAGACACGGCCCAGACUCCUACGGGAGGCAGCAGUGGGGAAUAUUGCACAAUGGGGGAAACCCUGAUGCAGCGACGCCGCGUGGAGGAAGAAGGUCUUCGGAUUGUAAACUCCUGUUGUUGAGGAAGAUAAUGACGGUACUCAACAAGGAAGUGACGGCUAACUA
This 462-nucleotide ribosomal RNA is filed under the name uncultured bacterium. RNAcentral describes it as "bacterial SSU rRNA". It matches the Rfam family "Bacterial small subunit ribosomal RNA", at positions 28 to 503 of the family's 1533-position model. The record is from RNAcentral.